Long non-coding RNA from Larimichthys crocea (large yellow croaker), 3038 nucleotides. RefSeq lists it as uncharacterized. The transcript has 3 exons. Lineage: Eukaryota; Metazoa; Chordata; Actinopteri; Sciaenidae. The record is from RefSeq and is a predicted model, not a curated record.
UUAUUUUUACUUUAAUACUGGAUAUUAGUUCAUAGUUUAAUGUUUUUACAUUAAAUCCAUUAUAUAAUAUGAAUGGAAAUUUAACUAGUUGAAUAUAACCGUACAGUGGUGUUAUGGACUUGAGGUUCUUCUAAAUGGUCUUUAGCCAGUUACAGACACUGGCUGUAGACAUGACUUUAACAUGACAACAAACAAGUUUAAUUAAAUUACUCGCAGAUUGAAUAGGGACAGCUGAUUUGAUUGAUUUUAGGAGUAGGUGCUAUUUGGAUCUGACAGUAAUGAAGCACAAAGCAGGUGAUGCAGUACAGUAGUAAGCAUAAUAUUGGCAGUAAGUAGUAAGCAGGUAAGUGGACAAGCAAAAGUUGACAAACAUCUUUGUCAUGAUACAGUUUCUGUUAGCCUCAGUAGAGUUGAGCCUGGCAGCGCUGAAGGCUGAUUCCAGGACGUCACAAACCCAGCCAAAGAUCCGAGACUCCAAAAUACAGGAAAGCACAAACACAACAGCUUGUCAACAGCCCCCCUGAAGGCCAGUGGUAACUGACACAGACUGAAGAGUCAGAUGGCUGCCUGCAUAUAUACUCACAUAGUUUCUCUGCAAAAACACACUGGCAUUUCUUGCACCCCUCUGGGAUAAUGAAAUCAGUGGCAUAAACCAGGUCCAGGCCAGUCAGGAAAAGCCAAAACUUGUCCUCCCACUUUAUAACAUUGCUGUAGUCCAGGAACGCCUCCUUGACCAACUGGCUCAUGUCAGAGGCUUACACUUCCAAGCAGGCAGACUAGCAGAAAGGCUGGCCCUGAAGAUGUCCAUGAACUGUCUCAUCCAAACAACACUCCAAGACUCCUUCUAAGAGCAGCAGAGUCUGUCACUGUGACGGCAACGUCCAACUGUCUUACUCUAACGCCAGACUCCAGUGAGAGAAGCAGGCAUAUCAACCUCGACAUCCAUGAUGUCUGUCAACGCGCACAUGUCUGUAAGUGAUCUGUAUCUUAGUUCCCCAACUGAGCUGUACUAAGCCAUGAAUAACAGCAAGUUAAGGACACAACACGAAAGAAAGAAAACACAUAAUUGGACAAUAAAAAAAGAACACAGCUUCCACCAAUUUAACUGAGUAUAUUGUGUUUGCCAAACUGGGCUGAUUUAAUAAAAAUCCACAGGACAUAAAGAUGCAUUAGCAUGUCAGCCAGCAAAAGGUUUCUUUAUUUUUCUUUGCACAUGCCAAAGUGGAAGCCUGGCAAUCAAACAGCCUCCACAGCUAAUUAUUAUGUUAUUAUAGUAGUAUUAUAGAUAGAUUAAAACACAAACAAAAACAAGCCUUUGCAGCAUACUAGAAAGUGUUCUUCAGUUUAAAGUGUUCUUCUUCACUACAGGCAAUAAAAAGAUUCCCCUCCACACCAAACCUGCAAUAUCCUGAGAGAGAGUACAGCCGAGAGAACAUCGGAGAACAAGAGCACAGCAAAUCAACCUGCUGACACCGAAUCCAUGACUUCUGUGAAGACUGCCCAAGGAGCCAGCAGAGGGAGAAACAAACAUCAGCCAGUGUUUCACAUCUGCAGAGAAUCGAAAAUACACAGAGGCUACAGAUUCAGACCCAUUGAAAAAGCAGCACAGGAUCACAGAGAGGAUACUUUGCAGAGUUUGCUCUUACAGGGCUAACUGGAGCUUGUUCAGAAAGUUGAACUGAAGUUCGAUCGAACUGUGGAACAUGUUAGGGUCCAGGCCUGACACACAGAGUGGCAGAUUAAGAAGCAGUUUAAGAAGCUUCAACAGUUUCUAGAUGAGGAAGGUCAGAUUGACUGCCUAGAGGGAGGAAGAGGAACAGAAGAGUCAUAUGAUGAAUGCUCUAAGAAGUUGGAUAUCCGCUCUGUCAGACAAAGUCAGAGCCACAGCAGAAGAGCUGAAGACAUCUCAUUUCUGCACAAGGCAGCAGUGAUCCCUGCAUCCACAGUCACUCUGAGGAGCUCUGACAGAUGUGGCCAAACACCUGGAAAGUCUGACCUUCAACAUCUGGGACAAGAUGAAGGAGAUGGCAUCCUAUAAUUUGGGAACUAAACACUCCAGGGACUUUCACUCAGGAGCUCACAGCUGGGAUGUGAUGAUGGAGACAAUAUUUUCACAGGAAGGGACUCAUACAGACUGGAUUAUGGAGAAUACAGUCCAGUAACUAUGUUGCAUCAAAAAUAUGUAUUGGGACAAAUAUGCAGGUACAAUGGCAGACAAGAUUAAGGAAGGAGUAAUGAGAUAACAGCUUGGUGUUAAGGAGGCACAUUAAAAUAAAUUACACUGUGGGCUUUUUAAUAAUCACAGGGUGCUUUAAUAUUUUUUACUAGGUAAUAAGAAAGGAAAAUUAUUAAAAUGGCAUAUCAGUAUUGAUACUCAAAUUAUUUCAAAAUGAUGAUAUACCUAAUGAAUCCAGUUUGGGAAAUUACAGUGUAAAACAUUUGUAAUUAUGGAGUGAUAUUAAAUGCUGACAUAGUGUACAUUAUUGUUGUUGCUGGGGAACAAAACCUUUUAUAGAUUAUUAUAAAAAAACUAAUUAAGACAUGUAGUUUUGUGGCCCAGUGGAAGCUCUAUCUGAUGAUCAACAUUGAGUUUUUAUGUCCUGUCCCUUAUCAAAUUAAAGUAAUUAAAAAAGGCAUAUACAUAUAUUCUCUAACUUCACUGAGGUUUAUUGAACGUCACAUAAUAUAAAGAAAAGAGUGGUGAGCUAUUCAUCACUUACAAAUGGCAUGUUAAUUUUAUCUAUGCUUCUGCCAACUUUUUUUGGCAUGCAUGAGUAGCUGAGGUACUGGAUGUUACCUUUUAGUGACACUACACAGAUGUAAUGUUGGAUACAGUUUCUUAUUACAGUCUAAUCAUGUAAAGUAAAUCAUUUGCUUGUUAGUGUAAGCAGUGCAGUCCAUCUCUAUGUAGGAAACAGGAUGUGUCUUUAUCAGCUUGAAAACAGAUGUCAAAGUGUGAACAGUAGUAGAUCUGUUCGCUUAGAUAUGUGGCUCUCAACUGAGAUCAGAAGCAUCUGAAUAAAUAUAACUCUCCCACA